This is a non-coding RNA of Marmota flaviventris (yellow-bellied marmot), 98 nucleotides long. Lineage: Eukaryota; Metazoa; Chordata; Mammalia; Rodentia; Sciuridae. The record is from RefSeq and is a predicted model, not a curated record.
AUUCUUUUGGUUUGCACUAGGAUAAAAAGAGAAAAAAAAAAAACCAUGAGCUUUUUGUCUGUUUUUAGGUGGCCCAAAUUGAAAUAGGGUAUGCAUUC